RNAcentral lists this long non-coding RNA (1055 nucleotides) under Cricetulus griseus (Chinese hamster). RNAcentral's name for it is "lncRNA (ENSCGRG00015037259.1)". The record is from RNAcentral. Lineage: Eukaryota; Metazoa; Chordata; Mammalia; Rodentia; Cricetidae.
AAAGGGGGAGGGAAAGCUUAUGACAUCGUCUUAUGUAAAUAUUCCGCCCUUUCCGUAGAACCCCACUCUGAACCAGGCCUUGUGCUAGAUGAAGGGGACUCCGAGAUAAAACAGAUUCCUGCGUGGCAGUGAGCAUUUCCCUCUUACAGUACAUUGUUCUACCUGUCUAAAGGUCUCACCUCACCCCGAAGCAAAGCUCAGUGCUGAAGGGGAGGCUAAGUCUGGCUCCCUAUGAAAACAACCCCAGAGGCAAACUGUUCCCUUCUGCAGGCCUGAUCCCUGGACGUGGAUUCCCAGGCUCGGUGUCAGGAGAGCUGCAGCCCAUCCAGCUGGGGCUCAUUCUCAGGCCUUUAGCUAGUCUUCCCUCUGCACUGUUACCCUCGUCUUUCUCCUGAUUCUCUGGGCUUUAUCCUGCCAUUUGAGCACCGGAGUUGAACCUAGGCUUUUAAGAAAAUUCCAACUAAGAAAAAAACGAAAUACUCUGGGUGAGAGAGCAGUCAUUAGAAGGUUCUAGAACAGUCCUUGAGGAGGGCCAGCACACAGAAUGUGUCUUUUGCCACAGUGUUCCAAGGGAAUAUUUUUCUUGUUACUCACUGCAACAGCUGGUCUGGAAUCUCCCUAUUUGUUAGAGUGAAAGAAUUUGGCAAGAAAAAUUCCGAAUCUUUUCACUCACCCCUCUGUAAGUCAGCUGUGGACCUCAGGACAGGUGAAAACAAAGCUAUCAGACAGGUUAUUCAUUUACAAAUGAUUCAGGGAACCAAAAUUUUCUUUCUGACUUUCCCACCCCCAGGCAGGGAGUUCUGGUAGGGAAACAACAAAAGCAGAGUUACUGGCCUGGAUCUCCAGGCCUCUGCUCUCCCAAGAUGAUCACAUUCCAUUCUGGAAUGUAAUGGUGCUGAAGGAGGCCAGAAUGGUUAUGUGGGAGCAUCAAAAAGAACAAAAUAUUCAUCAGGAGUGAUUUUAGCCACAGAAAUUCACAUCCUGUAUGUUGAAAACAACAGGACACCACUGACAGAAUUUUAGAAUACGUAAACAAAGCAGCCCGUGUUUGUGAC